Molecule: small nucleolar RNA, 181 nt
Organism: Takifugu rubripes (torafugu)
Lineage: Eukaryota; Metazoa; Chordata; Actinopteri; Tetraodontiformes; Tetraodontidae
Product: small nucleolar RNA SNORA53
Source: Ensembl
CACACGCUCCUUAGAUCCACCUCUGGAGGGCGCUGCUCCCUGAGCCUCGCUCCUCAGCAGCUUCCUGCUGUACUGUCGGAGGUGCUUGAGUCAUUGGCGUGUUAGAGCAGUCCACCUGUCCUCCAGCCCUCCUGCAGCACUGGGCGGCCCACCGGUGCUGGCAGCCUGGAGGACGGACAUU